Molecule: ribosomal RNA, 591 nt
Filed under: Hevansia nelumboides
Lineage: Eukaryota; Fungi; Ascomycota; Sordariomycetes; Hypocreales; Cordycipitaceae
Description: eukaryotic LSU rRNA
Rfam family: 5.8S ribosomal RNA (bases 235-388)
Source: RNAcentral
UAACAAGGUCUCCGUUGGUGAACCAGCGGAGGGAUCAUUACGGAUUGCCACAAUCCCAAACCCGUGUGCGAACCUACCGUCGUUGCCUCGGCGGACCCGUCCCGGCGCCCGGGCGGCCGCUCCCGCGAGCGCCGCCCGCGGCCCGGACCCCACGUCGGCCGCCGGGGGACCCGAAACCUCUGUAUUGCGAGCAUCAGUCUGAGUCCGCCGCCAGGCGGGAAGCGAAUCAGUCAAAACUUUCAACAACGGAUCUCUUGGCUCUGGCAUCGAUGAAGAACGCAGCGAAAUGCGAUAAGUAAUGUGAAUUGCAGAAUUCAGUGAAUCAUCGAAUCUUUGAACGCACAUUGCGCCCGGCAGCACUCUGCCGGGCAUGCCUGUUCGAGCGUCAUCUCAACCCUCGAGCCCCCCCCGGGGGGCCCGGCGUUGGGGACCGGCAGCCAGCCGCCGGCCCCGAAAUGGAGUGGCGGCCCGCCCGCGGCGACCCCUGCGCAGUACACAUGCCUCGCAGCGGGAGCCCGGCGCGGCCACGCCGUAAAGCGAACCUCUGAACGUUGACCUCGGAUCAGGUAGGGAUACCCGCUGAACUUAAGC